AUGAUUGUUUGGCCUAGUGAACCAAACUGGGAGACCAUUUUGAAGGCUCAGGAAACCUUUGCAGGUGUUUUGAGUUGAUUAGCAUAUUCUAAU
Long non-coding RNA from Sinocyclocheilus rhinocerous, 93 nucleotides. RefSeq lists it as uncharacterized. The transcript is spliced from 3 exons. NCBI's taxonomy places the organism in Eukaryota, Metazoa, Chordata, Actinopteri, Cypriniformes, Cyprinidae. The record is from RefSeq and is a predicted model, not a curated record.